AAGCUCGUAGUUGAAUUUCGGAAUCAAUCUGUUGGUCGUGCCUCGGUACGUACUGGUAUUAUUGGUUUCUACCUUCUGAAGAACCUUGAUGUCAUUAAUUUGGUGUCUUGGGGAAUCAGGACUGUUACUUUGAAAAAAUUAGAGUGUUUAAAGCAAGCAUACGCUUGAAUACAUUAGCAUGGAAUAAUGAAAUAGGACGUUUGAUUCUAUUUUGUUGGUUUCUAGGAUCGACGUAAUGAUUAAUAGGGAUAGUUGGGGGCAUUAGUAUUCAAUUGUCAGAGGUGAAAUUCUUGGAUUUAUUGAAGACUAACUACUGCGAAAGCAUUGCCAAGGAUGUUUUCAUUAAUCAAGAACGAAAGUUAGGGGAUCGAAGACGAUCAGAUACCGUCGUAGUCUUAACCAUAAACUAUGCCGACUAGGGAUCGGAUGAUGUUAAUUUUUUAAUGACUCAUUCGGCGCCUUACGGGAAACCAAAGUGUUUGGGUUCCGGGGGGAGUAUGGUCGCAAGGCUGAAACUUAAAGGAAUUGACGGAAGGGCACCACCAGGGGUGGAGCCUGCGGCUUAAUUUGACUCAACACGGGGAAA
Molecule: ribosomal RNA, 586 nt
Filed under: uncultured Glomus
Lineage: Eukaryota; Fungi; Glomeromycota; Glomeromycetes; Glomerales; Glomeraceae
Description: SSU rRNA
Rfam family: Eukaryotic small subunit ribosomal RNA
Source: RNAcentral